This 348-nucleotide small RNA is filed under the name Neolentinus lepideus HHB14362 ss-1. RNAcentral describes it as "5' ureB small RNA". It matches the Rfam family "5' ureB small RNA". Lineage: Eukaryota; Fungi; Basidiomycota; Agaricomycetes; Gloeophyllales; Gloeophyllaceae. The record is from Rfam by way of RNAcentral.
CCUCGUAUACUUGCUGCGGGCAGAUGUAGUGCACAUGCGCGUCAAUGGCGCCUGCGGUGAGGAUGAGCUUUUCGCCCGCGAUGACUUCGGUCGAGGAGCCGAUCACAAGGUCCGGGUGCACGGAAGACAUGAUGUCGGGGUUGCCUGCUUUGCCAAUGCCUGCGAUGCGGCCGUCUUUUACACCGACGUCUGCCUGUAAUACAGUGUUUACGUGAAGUGAUGACGAACAUGCGCGACGUGCUCACUUUGUAUAUGCCAGACCAGUCCACGAUGAGGGCGUUGGUGAUGACAAGGUCAAGACAUUCAGAUGCGGAUCGGUUGGUAGCCUGGCCCAUGCCCUCCCGUAUG